CAUAUGUACAACACCAUUUGUCAUAUCAUGAAAUGAGUGCUAAGAGGUGUAGGACUGGCAAGUUUGGUGAGCCAGUAAUAGGGAUAGAUGGUAAGUUUGAAUGCCCUAUUUGUCGUAAGACCUUUGAAGAGAAACCACAGUACUUUGGCCAUGUCGGAUCUCAUGCAAGGUACGAAGGGUUGACACCUGAAGCAUUUCUGGAUAAGGCCACUUCCAGAAGGGCAACUAAUGAUUCCUCGGCUUUGACCUUUGGUGACCAGACUUCAUAUGCACAACACCAUUUGUCAUAUCAUGAAAUGAGUGCUAAGAGGUGCAGGACUGGCAAAUUUGGUGAGCCAGUAGUACGGAUAGAUGGUAAGUUUGAAUGCCCUAUUUGUCGUAAGACCUUUGAAGAGAAACCACAGUACUUUGGCCAUGUCGGAUCUCAUGCAAGGUACGAAGGGUUGACUCCUGAAGCAUUUCUGGAUAAGGCCACUUCCAGAAGGGCAACUAAUGAUUCCUCGGC
This 505-nucleotide long non-coding RNA is filed under the name Sorghum bicolor (sorghum). RNAcentral's name for it is "long non-coding RNA (SBIC_LNC013383)". The record is from RNAcentral. Lineage: Eukaryota; Viridiplantae; Streptophyta; Magnoliopsida; Poales; Poaceae.